Molecule: ribosomal RNA, 532 nt
Filed under: Bacillus anthracis (anthrax bacterium)
Lineage: Bacteria; Bacillati; Bacillota; Bacilli; Caryophanales; Bacillaceae
Description: bacterial SSU rRNA
Rfam family: Bacterial small subunit ribosomal RNA
Source: RNAcentral
GGUACGAGAGGUCUGACGGGAGGCAACGCCGCGUGAGUGAUGAAGGCUUUCGGGAGUCAGCAGGUAGAGAACUCUGUUGCUUACGGGAAGAAGAAGUGCUAGUUGAAUGAGCUGGCCUCCUUGACGGUACCUAACCAGAAAGGCCACGGCUAACUACGUGCCAGCAGCCGCGGUAAUACGUAGGUGGCAAGCGUUAUCCGGAAUUAUUGGGCGUAAAGCGCGCGCAGGUGGUUUCUUAAGUCUGAUGUGAAAGCCCACGGCUCAACCGUGGAGGGUCAUUGGAAACUGGGAGACUUGAGUGCAGAAGAGGAAAGUGGAAUUCCAUGUGUAGCGGUGAAAUGCGUAGAGAUAUGGAGGAACACCAGUGGCGAAGGCGACUUUCUGGUCUGUAACUGACACUGAGGCGCGAAAGCGUGGGGAGCAAACAGGAUUAGAUACCCUGGUAGUCCACGCCGUAAACGAUGAGUGCUAAGUGUUAGAGAGGUUUCAGGCUCCUUUAGUGCUGAGAGUUAAGGCCAAGUUAAGCACUCCG